This 1311-nucleotide ribosomal RNA is filed under the name Triticum aestivum (bread wheat). Its description in RNAcentral is "partial small subunit ribosomal RNA". Lineage: Eukaryota; Viridiplantae; Streptophyta; Magnoliopsida; Poales; Poaceae. The record is from RNAcentral.
AUGGGGAGGCAGAUCGCCGCCCUGUGCGGCCUUCUCGUGGUGCUGCUCGAGCUCACGUCCGGCGUCAAUGCACAGACGGAGAUCCUGUUUCAGGGGUUCAACUGGGACUCGUGGAACAAGCAAGGUGGCUGGUACAAUAUGCUCAAGGCCCAGGUCGGCGACAUCGCCGGCGCCGGGGUCACACACGUCUGGCUGCCGCCACCUUCGCACUCCGUUUCAUCUCAAGGCUACAUGCCGGGCCGGCUCUACGACCUGGACGCGUCCAAGUACGGCACGGCGGCGGAGCUCAGGUCGCUCAUCGCCGCCUUCGGCGCCAAGGGCAUCAAGUGCGUCGCGGACGUCGUCAUCAACCACCGCUGCGCCGAGGACAAGGACGGCCGCGGCAUCUACUGCAUCUUCAAGGGCGGAGGACCCGAGGGCCUCCUGGACUGGGGUCCCGGCAUGAUCUGCAGCGACGACACCAAGUUCUCCGACGGCACGGGCAACCGUGACACCGGCGCCGACUUCGCCGCCGCGCCCGACAUCGACCACCUCAACCCGCGCGUCCAGAAGGAGCUCUCCGACUGGCUCAACUGGCUCAAGUCCGACCUCGGCUUCCACGGCUGGCGCCUCGACUUCGCCAAGGGCUACUCGGCCGACGUCGCCAGGACGUACGUCCAGAACACGAGCCCCGGCUUCGUCGUCGCGGAGAUAUGGAACUCCCUCAGCUACGACGGCGACGGGAAGCCCGCCGUCAACCAGGACGCGGAGCGGCUGGAGCUGGUGAACUGGGCCAAGGCGGUCGGCGGCCCUGCCAUGGCGUUCGACUUCACGACCAAGGGCAUCCUGCAGUCGGCGGUGCAGGGCGAGCUGUGGAGGAUGCGGGACAAGGAGGGCAACGCUCCCGGGAUGAUCGGCCUGUUGCCGGAGAAGGCGGUCACGUUCGUGGACAACCACGACACGGGCUCGUCGCAGAAGAAAUGGCCGUUCCCGACCGACAAGGUCAUGAUGGGCUACGCCUACAUCCUCACCCACCCUGGAGUUCCAUGCAUCUUCUACGAUCAUGUCUUCGACUGGAACCUGAAGCAAGAGAUCUACGCGCUGGCGGCGGUGAGGAACCGCAACGGGAUCAACGCCGGGAGCAAGCUGCGCAUCCUGGCGGCGGAGAGCGACAUGUACGUGGCGGCGGUUGACGAGAAAGUUAUCGUCAAGCUCGGACCGAGGUUCGACGCUGGCAGCGUCAUCCCGUCCGACUUCCACGUCGUGGCUCACGGCAAUAACUACUGCGUCUGGGAGAAGAGCGGCCUUAGGGUGCCGGCCGGGCGGCGCUAG